Molecule: ribosomal RNA, 416 nt
Filed under: uncultured bacterium
Lineage: Bacteria
Description: bacterial SSU rRNA
Rfam family: Bacterial small subunit ribosomal RNA
Source: RNAcentral
ACUCCUACGGGAGGCAGCAGUGAGGAAUAUUGGUCAAUGGAGGGAACUCUGAACCAGCCAUCCCGCGUGUAGGAAGACGGCCUUAUGGGUUGUAAACUACUUUUAUACGAGGAAGAAACGUACCCUCGUGAGGGUGCCUGACGGUACUGUAGGAAUAAGCACCGGCUAACUCCGUGCCAGCAGCCGCGGUAAUACGGAGGGUGCGAGCGUUAUCCGGAUUUAUUGGGUUUAAAGGGUCCGUAGGCGGAUUAAUAAGUCAGUGGUGAAAUCCCAUCGCUUAACGAUGGAACUGCCAUUGAUACUGUUAGUCUUGAAUGAGGGUGCAGUGGUUGGAAUGUGUAGUGUAGCGGUGAAAUGCAUAGAUAUUACACAGAACACCGAUUGCGAAGGCAGAUCACUAACCCUAAAUUGACGCU